CCUACGGGAUGCAGCAGUGGGGAAUAUUGCACAAUGGGGGAAACCCUGAUGCAGCGACGCCGCGUGAGUGAAGAAGUAUUUCGGUAUGUAAAGCUCUAUCAGCAGGGAAGAAGAAAGACGGUACCUGACUCAGAAGCCCCGGCUAACUACGUGCCAGCAGCCGCGGUAAUACGUAGGGGGCAAGCGUUAUCCGGAUUUACUGGGUGUAAAGGGAGCGUAGACGGCUGUGCAAGUCUGAAGUGAAAGCCCAGGGCUCAACCCUGGGACUGCUUUGGAAACUGUGGAGCUAGAGUGCUGGAGAGGUAAGUGGAAUUCCUAGUGUAGCGGUGAAAUGCGUAGAUAUUAGGAGGAACACCAGUGGCGAAGGCGGCUUACUGGACAGUAACUGACGUUGAGGCUCGAAAGCGUGGGGAGCAAACAGGAUUAGAUACCCUUGUAGUC
This 441-nucleotide ribosomal RNA is filed under the name uncultured bacterium. RNAcentral's name for it is "partial 16S ribosomal RNA". It matches the Rfam family "Bacterial small subunit ribosomal RNA", at positions 338 to 795 of the family's 1533-position model. The record is from RNAcentral.